UUUCUAAGUUGCUUGCAUUCUGCCUGUCAUGUCAAAAUGGCAGAGCUUUCCACAAACCACUCCAGCAAAUAAAGUCUCCUCUCUGAGUGCCUAAUCUUCUCCCGGUAAGCAGAAAGAGAGUGGGGCAUAAACUGCUUUCUUCCACCGCUGCCCCCAGAGGACCCCACAGUCCCACUCACGUGGCCCGUGGAGAGACCGAAACGAGACAAAUGAUACCUUGGCGAUGACUGGAGAAUCUUACGCAGAGAAAUUUAUUACGUUUUGGAAAAGUUCCGGGCAGUGGUUUUUAUCAUUAGAUCCUUUAUGCUCUUCAAGUUGCAUAAGACGCUCUGACUUCUUUUUCUUGUCGAAGCAUAACUUCCAGGUCAGCUUUAGCUGUUCAGGUGGGCAAGCCACAGCUUUUUGCUGUUGGAGGAGGUGAGGCUGACAGAAAGAGAAGAUAACCCUUAUAGUGGAGGACCUGGAAGAGAUCAUCCUCUGGAGUCAGGCAGUGAACGGUACAUGAUUAUAUCUUUUAGACACUUGUCACCUCAGAAUGCCUACCAGUUAUCAGGAACUAUGAACAUAUUCUUCUUGUACUGCUGGGGAAAACUCAGAUCUGUGACAGAAUUCCUUCCAUUGUCUCGAGAGCAAAUGCAGCAACAACUCACAUUUAUUGAGCACUUACUCAUCUAGACGCUUUACCUCAUUUUGUCUUCACCACCUUCUCAGGAAGGUACUACUGCCAGCCCCAUUUUACAGGCUUGCUCACAGGUUAAUGAUCAUUUGUACUUCAUUUUGCAAUUUUGUGAAGAGACUUCUGACCGUGAUAAGGAUCCAAACAACCAACAGAUGAGACAAAGAACUUUCUAUUCACACUUCCUACUCCUAAUUAAACACCCAGUUUAUUCUUUAUGACUGCUAUUCCUGGUGUUACCCACACAACUGCAAAACAAAGCACUCAUGGGAAGAGCUGCCAGGGACCUCACAUAACCCCCAAGGUAGACUGGACAGCAACUUCCACUGCCGUUCUCUCUUGGAUUAUGAACGUCCUUCAACAAAACACAUGAUGCUACGGGCCUACCACUCAUCACUGGGAUGUGGUUUCCAGGGGGCUAAGAUACCUAUGUUUAACCAACCACAUGGCCUACUCAAUCUUCCCCAGGGGCCAAUUUGCCACAUCUGACCAUGGUGAAAGGUACAGCCAGUGGCCACAGGAGACAGUGAAGUUGACAGGAUAACUAGGGAUCGGAUCCAUGACUUGGUUUCAUUGACUUUAUGAACUAGGUGGCUGUCCCUCCAGUCAG
RNAcentral lists this long non-coding RNA (1286 nucleotides) under Equus caballus (horse). RNAcentral's name for it is "lncRNA (ENSECAG00000046744.1)". Lineage: Eukaryota; Metazoa; Chordata; Mammalia; Perissodactyla; Equidae. The record is from RNAcentral.